AAAGAACCAACAGGGAUUGCCCCAGUAACGGCGAGUGAAGCGGCAACAGCUCAAAUUUGAAAUCUGGCCCCCUCGGGGCCCGAGUUGUAAUUUGCAGAGGGAGCUUUUGGCGUCGGUCGUGGUCUAAGUUCCUUGGAACAGGACGUCACAGAGGGUGAGAAUCCCGUACGUGGCCGCCGGCCUUCGCCUUGUAAAGCCCCUUCGACGAGUCGAGUUGUUUGGGAAUGCAGCUCUAAAUGGGAGGUAAAUUCCUUCUAAAGCUAAAUACCCGCCAGAGACCGAUAGCGCACAAGUAGAGUGAUCGAAAGAUGAAAAGCACUUUGGAAAGAGAGUGAAAAAGCACGUGAAAUUGUUGAAAGGGAAGCGCUUGCGGCUAGACGUGCCCGCGGUUGAUCAUCCAGGCUCCGGCCUGGUGCACUCCUCCGCGGGCAGGCCAGCAUCAGUUCGGGCGGUCGGAUAAAGGCCUCUGUCACGUACCACCCCUCGGGGUGGCCUUAUAGGGGAGGCGCAACACGGCCAGCCCGGACUGAGGUUCCGCGCAUCUGCUAGGAUGCUGGCGUAAUAGCAGCAAGCGGCCCGUCUUGAAACACGGACCAAGGAGUCUAACAUCUAUGCGAGUGUUUGGGUGUCAAGCCCGAGCGCGCAAUGAAAGUGAACGGAGGUGGGAACCCUCACGGGUGCACCAUCGACCGAUCCUGAUGUCUUCGGAUGGAUUUGAGUAAGAGCAUAGCUGUUGGGACCCGAAAGAUGGUGAACUAUGCCUGAAUAGGGUGAAGCCAGAGGAAACUCUGGUGGAGGCUCGCAGCGGUUCUGACGUGCAAAUCGAUCGUCAAAUUUGGGCAUAGGGGCGAAAGACUAAUCG
This 862-nucleotide ribosomal RNA is filed under the name Torula sp. Its description in RNAcentral is "partial large subunit ribosomal RNA". It matches the Rfam family "Eukaryotic large subunit ribosomal RNA", at positions 58 to 937 of the family's 3401-position model. The record is from RNAcentral. Lineage: Eukaryota; Fungi; Ascomycota; Dothideomycetes; Pleosporales; Torulaceae.